UGUUAGCCAUAUUCCUCUUGGCAGUUACAUGAAGUUGUUCCUGCUGGGCUGUUUUGUUGUUACUGAGUUACCUUUGAAAUUCUUCCCUUUUUAUGACCGCACUCCAGAGGCCCUUUUAAUAACCUGCUCGGGGUUAAUGCUUCCAUGAAAGCCCUGCUCGCUCUGAUACACUCCCUGGCUUCUCUUUAGAUUGUGCAAGUCUUUCACUGCGAUACAACAUAGUUUACAGAGAAGAAAAAUCCAGAUAAUUUUGUGGCACAGAUCUGCUGCCUCAUACUGUCAGCUCACCUGGCCUGGAUCAGGUGCCAGCAUGGUGGCUUUCCACCAUAUUUCCAGAGAGAACAGAUAAAACUGUUAGAAUGUGUUCACGUGGGCUGGAGACAAGGCAUUGCUAAAUGUUUCAUGGUAGUUAACGCAAGCAGUUACAAUCAUGAAGGGAUGACGUUAAACAGAAGGCAGUACAGUUUAACACAGAUAAAGAAGGUUACUGCAUCCAUUUGGUGUCUUUACUGCUGGAAAAAUAAUGUUGAGCAGAAGUUUUUUGUGUUACCUUGGUAA
Molecule: long non-coding RNA, 558 nt
Filed under: Struthio camelus australis
Lineage: Eukaryota; Metazoa; Chordata; Aves; Struthioniformes; Struthionidae
Description: lncRNA (ENSSCUG00000002076.1)
Source: RNAcentral